UGGGUGGCGAGUGGCGGACGGGUGAGGAAUACAUCGGAAUCUACUUUUUCGUGGGGGAUAACGUAGGGAAACUUACGCUAAUACCGCAUACGACCUACGGGUGAAAGCAGGGGAUCUUCGGACCUUGCGCGAUUGAAUGAGCCGAUGUCGGAUUAGCUAGUUGGCGGGGUAAAGGCCCACCAAGGCGACGAUCCGUAGCUGGUCUGAGAGGAUGAUCAGCCACACUGGAACUGAGACACGGUCCAGACUCCUACGGGAGGCAGCAGUGGGGAAUAUUGGACAAUGGGCGCAAGCCUGAUCCAGCCAUACCGCGUGGGUGAAGAAGGCCUUCGGGUUGUAAAGCCCUUUUGUUGGGAAAGAAAUCCAGCUGGCUAAUACCCGGUUGGGAUGACGGUACCCAAAGAAUAAGCACCGGCUAACUUCGUGCCAGCAGCCGCGGUAAUACGAAGGGUGCAAGCGUUACUCGGAAUUACUGGGCGUAAAGCGUGCGUAGGUGGUCGUUUAAGUCCGUUGUGAAAGCCCUGGGCUCAACCUGGGAACUGCAGUGGAUACUGGACGACUAGAGUGUGGUAGAGGGUAGCGGAAUUCCUGGUGUAGCAGUGAAAUGCGUAGAGAUCAGGAGGAACAUCCAUGGCGAAGGCAGCUACCUGGACCAACACUGACACUGAGGCACGAAAGCGUGGGGAGCAAACAGGAUUAG
RNAcentral lists this ribosomal RNA (700 nucleotides) under uncultured Stenotrophomonas bacterium. RNAcentral describes it as "bacterial SSU rRNA". It matches the Rfam family "Bacterial small subunit ribosomal RNA", at positions 85 to 781 of the family's 1533-position model. Lineage: Bacteria; Pseudomonadati; Pseudomonadota; Gammaproteobacteria; Lysobacterales; Lysobacteraceae. The record is from RNAcentral.